GGGAGUUUAGCUCAGCUGGGAGAGCAUCUGCCUUACAAGCAGGGGGUCACAGGUUCGAUCCCUGUAACUCCCACCA
This 76-nucleotide transfer RNA is filed under the name Clostridia bacterium. RNAcentral describes it as "tRNA-Val". It matches the Rfam family "tRNA". Rfam says of the family: Transfer RNA (tRNA) molecules are approximately 80 nucleotides in length. Their secondary structure includes four short double-helical elements and three loops (D, anti-codon, and T loops). The record is from RNAcentral. RNAcentral also lists the same sequence under 1 other name. Lineage: Bacteria; Bacillati; Bacillota; Clostridia.